GAGUAUCGAAAGAUAAGAACUGUGAACGAACGAGUUGAUUUCCGGGCAGCCGGGGAUGUCAUUUUAGACUGAUGUUUAUAGUACUUUUAUUUUGUAAUAACGAUAGUAUA
RNAcentral lists this unclassified non-coding RNA (110 nucleotides) under uncultured fungus. RNAcentral's name for it is "sequence contains ITS1". Lineage: Eukaryota; Fungi. The record is from RNAcentral.